RNAcentral lists this ribosomal RNA (582 nucleotides) under uncultured Bacteroidota bacterium. Its description in RNAcentral is "bacterial SSU rRNA". It matches the Rfam family "Bacterial small subunit ribosomal RNA", at positions 102 to 685 of the family's 1533-position model. Lineage: Bacteria; Pseudomonadati; Bacteroidota. The record is from RNAcentral.
ACGGGUGCGUAACACGUAUGCAACCUACCCCUUAUUAAAGGAUAUACUCGGGAAACUGGGGGCAACACUUUAUAUGCACACGACUAGGCAUCUAGUAGUGUGGAAACGUAAGGAUGAGGGAUGGGCAUGCGUCUGAUUAGCUAGUUGGUAAGGUAACGGCUUACCAAGGCGACGAUCAGUAGCUGGUCUGAGAGGAUGAUCAGCCACACUGGCACUGAGACACGGGCCAGACUCCUACGGGAGGCAGCAGUAAGGAAUAUUGGUCAAUGGUCGAAAGACUGAACCAGCCACGCCGCGUGGAGGAAGACGGUCCUCUGGAUUGUAAACUCCUUUUGCCGAGGGAUAAAAGCGGACAAUAUGUCUUUUUGAAGGUACUCGGUGAAUAAGCCACGGCUAACUACGUGCCAGCAGCCGCGGUAAUACGUAGGUGGCAAGCGUUGUCCGGAUUUAUUGGGUUUAAAGGGUGCGUAGGCGGUUACUUAAGUCAGUCGUUAAAGGCAGCAGCUUAACUGUUGUAAGGCGAUUGAUACUGAUUAACUUGAAUUCUUUAGANGUAGCUGGAAUACGUAGUGUAGAGGUGAA